This 253-nucleotide ribosomal RNA is filed under the name uncultured bacterium. Its description in RNAcentral is "partial 16S ribosomal RNA". It matches the Rfam family "Bacterial small subunit ribosomal RNA", at positions 524 to 776 of the family's 1533-position model. The record is from RNAcentral. RNAcentral also lists the same sequence under 1 other name.
UACGGAGGGGGCUAGCGUUGUUCGGAAUUACUGGGCGUAAAGCGCGCGUAGGCGGCUUUGUAAGUCAGAGGUGAAAUCCCGGGGCUCAACUCCGGAACUGCCUUUGAAACUGCAUCGCUUGAAUCCGGGAGAGGUGAGUGGAAUUCCGAGUGUAGAGGUGAAAUUCGUAGAUAUUCGGAAGAACACCAGUGGCGAAGGCGGCUCACUGGACCGGCAUUGACGCUGAGGUGCGAAAGCGUGGGGAGCAAACAGG